UACAGAGGGUGCGAGCGUUGUUCGGAAUUACUGGGCGUAAAGCGCGUGUAGGCGGUCUAAUAAGUCAGAUGUGAAAUCCCGGGGCCUAACUCCGGAAGUGCAUUUGAAACUGUUAGGCUGGAGUGAUGUAGAGGAUGGCGGAAUACCCAGUGUAGUGGUGAAAUACGUAGAGAUUGGGUAGAACACCGGUGGCGAAGGCGGCCAUCUGGGCAUUAACUGACGCUGAGACGCGAAAGCGUGGGGAGCAAACAGG
Molecule: ribosomal RNA, 253 nt
Filed under: uncultured bacterium
Lineage: Bacteria
Also listed under: 1 other name
Description: partial 16S ribosomal RNA
Rfam family: Bacterial small subunit ribosomal RNA
Source: RNAcentral